Molecule: long non-coding RNA, 901 nt
Filed under: Panthera leo (lion)
Lineage: Eukaryota; Metazoa; Chordata; Mammalia; Carnivora; Felidae
Description: lncRNA (ENSPLOG00000004779.1)
Source: RNAcentral
GAGGAGAAUAGAUAAACAAAAAUCUCUCCCCUUGAAGAUUUUCUAGCCUAUAACAUGGAGGCUACAUCGGGGCAGUGGAGGCUCAACAUAAGUUCUCCAAGAUCCCAUUUCCUCUCAUUCUCCUGGUGGGAAUGAGUGGACACACCAGAGAGACCCUCACUUCUACUUCCCUCAAUUAUGUGCAUCUUCAUCGAGCACACAGCGCUGGACAUGUCAGCAGAACUCUGCAAGCAGGGAAAUCACAGAAUAGAAGAAGAAAGAAUUAAAAGACAUCAUUGAAACUUACAGAAGAAGGGCCAUGUGAAGACACAAAGAGAAGAUUGCCAUGUACAAACCAAGGAGACAGGACUCUGAAGAAACCAAAACUGCCAAUGACUUGAUCUUGGGCUUCUAGCCUUCAGAACCAUAAUAAAUAUUUUUGUUUAAGCCAGGAAUAAAAAGACAUAAUUGAUUUUUUUAAAAAGCCAUUUUAAUGUGUAAGUUGUUCUGGUGAUAACAGUUAUGAAUCUUUAGUGAGGAUGGGGGAAGGCUCCUAUGCCUCCUUGUCCUCUUGCAAUCUUAACAAAAAUUGCUGUGAUGUGUUUUAGAUGAUGGUGAAGUGGCUAUGGCCUAAGCCUUACAUUCUCUGCCCAGUGGCCUGGUAUCUAGACAUAUGCCUAUUCUACCGUGGAAAGUCUGGCCCACCCUCACUAAAUCACCGAAGAAAGGCACUACAUUAAGUUCUUAUUCAUUUCUUUCCUAAAAUUUCACAAGUCCUGUAUAAGUGAAAAAAGAAGACUAUUUCUAUUUGGAACUAAAAAUUUUAUUUUCUAAAUGAAACUCAAGUUUCUUAUAUAAUAUAUUGGUUGUUAUGCUUCCUAAUAAUCCCUGUAAAACUCGGUAACUUAUAAAGUUAUAUGGC